RNAcentral lists this ribosomal RNA (253 nucleotides) under uncultured bacterium. RNAcentral describes it as "partial 16S ribosomal RNA". It matches the Rfam family "Bacterial small subunit ribosomal RNA", at positions 524 to 776 of the family's 1533-position model. The record is from RNAcentral.
GACAGAGGGUGCAAACGUUGCUCGGAAUUACUGGGCGUAAAGAGCGCGCAGGCGGUCGUUCAAGUCGCGUGUGAAAGCCCCCGGCUCAACUGGGGAGGGUCACGCGAUACUGAUCGACUCGAAGGCAGGAGAGGGAAGUGGAAUUCCCGGUGUAGUGGUGAAAUGCGCAGAUAUCAGGAGGAACACCGGUGGCGAAGGCGGGUCUCUGGGCCGAUACUGACGCUGAGGAGCGAAAGCGUGGGGAGCGAACAGG